AAAUUGAAGAGUUUGAUCAUGGCUCAGAUUGAACGCUGGCGGCAGGCCUAACACAUGCAAGUCGAACGGUAGCACAGAGAGCUUGCUCUCGGGUGACGAGUGGCGGACGGGUGAGUAAUGUCUGGGAAACUGCCU
Molecule: ribosomal RNA, 135 nt
Filed under: Enterobacter cloacae
Lineage: Bacteria; Pseudomonadati; Pseudomonadota; Gammaproteobacteria; Enterobacterales; Enterobacteriaceae
Also listed under: 6 other names
Description: partial 16S ribosomal RNA
Rfam family: Bacterial small subunit ribosomal RNA
Source: RNAcentral